AGGUAUCUAGUCUAAGCAAGACCUUUGGUUUCGACCCAAAAAAUUCUGGCUCUGCCAGAGCAACCUA
RNAcentral lists this transfer RNA (67 nucleotides) under Uroplatus ebenaui. Its description in RNAcentral is "tRNA-Arg". The record is from RNAcentral. Lineage: Eukaryota; Metazoa; Chordata; Lepidosauria; Squamata; Gekkonidae.